UACGUAGGGGGCAAGCGUUGUCCGGAUUUAUUGGGCGUAAAGGGCGCGUAGGCGGCGCCACAAGUCACCUGUGAAAACUCUGGGCUCAACCCAGAGCCUGCAGGCGAAACUGUGGUGCUGGAGUAUGGGAGAGGUGCGUGGAAUUCCCGGUGUAGAGGUGAAAUUCGUAGAUAUCGGGAGGAACACCAGUGGCGAAGGCGGCGACCUGGGCCAAUAUUGACGCUGAGGUGCGAAAGCGUGGGGAGCAAACAGG
RNAcentral lists this ribosomal RNA (253 nucleotides) under uncultured bacterium. RNAcentral's name for it is "partial 16S ribosomal RNA". It matches the Rfam family "Bacterial small subunit ribosomal RNA", at positions 524 to 776 of the family's 1533-position model. The record is from RNAcentral.